CCUACGGGGUGCAGCAGUGGGGAAUAUUGCACAAUGGGGGAAACCCUGCUGCAGCGACGCCCCGUGAGUGAAGAAGUAUUUCGGUAUGUAACGCUCUAUCAGCAGGGAAGAGAAUGACGGUACCUGAGUAAGAAGCCCCGGCUAACUACGUGCCAGCAGCCGCGGUAAUACGUAGGGGGCAAGCGUUAUCCGGAUUUACUGGGUGUAAAGGGAGUGUAGACGGCGAAGAAAGUCUGAAGUGAAAGCCCGCGGCUCAACCGCGGAACUGCUUUUGAAACUUUUUUGCUGGAGUACCGGAGAGGUAAGCGGAAUUCCUAGUGUAGCGGUGAAAUGCGUAGAUAUUAGGAGGAACACCAGUGGCGAAGGCGGCUUACUGGACGGUAACUGACGUUGAGGCUCGAAAGCGUGGGGAGCAAACAGGAUUAGAUACCCCAGUAGUC
RNAcentral lists this ribosomal RNA (440 nucleotides) under uncultured bacterium. RNAcentral's name for it is "partial 16S ribosomal RNA". It matches the Rfam family "Bacterial small subunit ribosomal RNA", at positions 338 to 795 of the family's 1533-position model. The record is from RNAcentral.